CUUUGGUGGGCAGAGCCUACGACCCUUGACCAUGUAGCUUCGAAUCCGCUUCCCAAGCUUGGGGUGAACGAUAGAUAGGAAGAG
Molecule: non-coding RNA, 84 nt
Organism: Arvicanthis niloticus (Nile rat)
Lineage: Eukaryota; Metazoa; Chordata; Mammalia; Rodentia; Muridae
Source: RefSeq, a predicted model, not a curated record